RNA transcript from Daktulosphaira vitifoliae (grape phylloxera), 1258 nucleotides. RefSeq lists it as uncharacterized. The transcript is spliced from 5 exons. The record is from RefSeq and is a predicted model, not a curated record. Lineage: Eukaryota; Metazoa; Arthropoda; Insecta; Hemiptera; Phylloxeridae.
AGUUGUUGUUCAGUCACGCUCACUAUGUGAGGUCAUUGGACGGUGGUUUUGGUGUAAAUAUAUGUAUACUUUUUAAUGAAUUUCGGGCGUAAUAUUUGAGUUUAAUUAAUUGAAAUCAUCGACUACGAGUGGUGUUUAACAAAUUUUAUGUGGAUCAUAAGUUAUUGAGAUGUCAAUUACAUCUGUUCCACUCUGUAUACAAAGUGUAUUUAUAAUACUAUAAUUAAAAAAAUUAAAAUGUUAACAGGUUUUAUUAAAUAAAUAAUAACAAUUGAAUUAUUCAUUUCUAUAUUUGAUUAUUAAUAUUUAAUAUACACUUGUUUAAAACUAUUUAUAAUGUAAUAUCCAAUCUUUUUAUUGUUGGUAAAAGGUUUGAGAAAUAACAAAAACAUAAAUAUCAUAAAGAAGGUAAUCUAAUUGUACGAAGAAUAUAACAUCCAUGAGAUAUUUUUAUUAGAAUAUUAAUGUGAUAGGAAAAUAACUCAAUUAAGAAAAUAACUGAUAGUUUACAACUUUUAUUUUAGAAUUUUCAGUAGAUUAUCUAUCCACAUUAGAUGGCGUAUGGACUGGACAUACAGAGGUUCUAGAAGCUAAUCAUCGCUUUAGACCAUUAGGAUUGUUAUCACGAAACGAUUUAUGUAUACAAUUUAAUUUUAAAUUCAAUAGCCCUAUAACGUACAUUGAAGCUGAUAAAAGUCUGACUAAGCCAGAUAAAGAUAAACAAAAAAUUUUAUUUCCUGAUGGAAAUGAAUUUUAUAGAGCUGUAUCUUUAUUUCUUAGUGGAACAGAAAAUAAUCAUGAAUAUCUAAGGGCAAUAGUUUAUGAGGAAAUACUUAAUAAUGUAGGUAUUAGUACAUUCAUGGGAGGACAAAAUAAAUUACAAGAAUACCUACAAAAAAAUCCUGUUCAAAAUAAUGGUGUUCCUGUUACAUAUAUGGAGGUGAUGAUUACAAGUUAUCUCAUGGACACAAGUAUAUAUUUUUAUAGAAAUCAACUCCAAACAUGGUUAUUUAUCCCCAAAAAUUGGAACAACCCUUAUAUUGAAAAUUUUGAAGAAAAUUAUUUUAUGUACUUUUCAAUACAAGGUCUUGAUACUUUUUUAAUCAACGAUGUAAUUGUAGUUUAAAUUUUAUUUAUAAGACAAAAAAAAUUAAUUUACUCCUACCUUAUGUAAAUUAUAAAUAAGAAAAAAUAAAUUACUAGAAUGUUUGAAAAUAUUUUGAUUGGUUUAUAUUAUGAUAAAACUAUGUUUCUAUAA